CGAACAGAAAAGGAGCUUGCUCCUUUGACGUUAGCGGCGGACGGGUGAGUAACACGUGGGCAACCUACCCUAUAGUUUGGGAUAACUCCGGGAAACCGGGGCUAAUACCGAAUAAUCUCUUUUGCUUCAUGGUGAAAGACUGAAAGACGGUUUCGGCUGUCGCUAUAGGAUGGGCCCGCGGCGCAUUAGCUAGUUGGUGAGGUAACGGCUCACCAAGGCGACGAUGCGUAGCCGACCUGAGAGGGUGAUCGGCCACACUGGGACUGAGACACGGCCCAGACUCCUACGGGAGGCAGCAGUAGGGAAUCUUCCACAAUGGGCGAAAGCCUGAUGGAGCAACGCCGCGUGAGUGAAGAAGGUUUUCGGAUCGUAAAACUCUGUUGUAAGGGAAGAACAAGUACAGUAGUAACUGGCUGUACCUUGACGGUACCUUAUUAGAAAGCCACGGCUAACUACGUGCCAGCAGCCGCGGUAAUACGUAGGUGGCAAGCGUUGUCCGGAAUUAUUGGGCGUAAAGCGCGCGCAGGCGGUCCUUUAAGUCUGAUGUGAAAGCCCACGGCUCAACCGUGGAGGGUCAUUGGAAACUGGGGGACUUGAGUGCAGAAGAGGAAAGUGGAAUUCCAAGUGUAGCGGUGAAAUGCGUAGAGAUUUGGAGGAACACCAGUGGCGAAGGCGACUUUCUGGUCUGUAACUGACGCUGAGGCGCGAAAGCGUGGGGAGCAAACAGGAUUAGAUACCCUG
Molecule: ribosomal RNA, 741 nt
Filed under: Lysinibacillus sp.
Lineage: Bacteria; Bacillati; Bacillota; Bacilli; Caryophanales; Bacillaceae
Description: bacterial SSU rRNA
Rfam family: Bacterial small subunit ribosomal RNA
Source: RNAcentral